This is a non-coding RNA of Oryza nivara, 204 nucleotides long. The record is from Rfam. NCBI's taxonomy places the organism in Eukaryota, Viridiplantae, Streptophyta, Magnoliopsida, Poales, Poaceae.
UUUAAGUGCAACCAAAAGUUGCCGCGCCCAACUUUGAUCGUCCGUCUUAUUUUAAAUUUUUUUAUAAUUAGUAUUUUUGUUGUUAUGAGAUGAUAAAAUAUGAAUAGUACUUUACUCGUGACUUAUUUUUAAAAUUUUUAUAAAAAAUUUUCAAAUAAGACGGACGGUUAAAGUUGGACGCGGAAAACCAUGGUUGCACUUAAA